Eleginops maclovinus (Patagonian blennie) is the source of this 510-nucleotide long non-coding RNA. RefSeq lists it as uncharacterized. The record is from RefSeq and is a predicted model, not a curated record. The transcript has 3 exons. NCBI's taxonomy places the organism in Eukaryota, Metazoa, Chordata, Actinopteri, Perciformes, Eleginopidae.
UGGUGUGGUUACUACACAGUGCGGGCAAUCAAUGGCAAAGCCAAGCAGUCAAUCAUUUAGUAGUGGGUAUUUAAAGCUUAACGUAAUAAUAAUUUUUAAAAGGGGUUAAUGUUAUAUGAACUUAAUCAUGUUAUUUACCAAGGAUUCAAUUAAAUUCAGGGUUAUCACCACAGAAAAAGAGGGGAGGAUAUGAGAGGGCAAAAAAUAGCAGUACAUUGGAGAAUAGAGACUGUGACAAGAGUUUACUGCUAAGGAAAAAAAAAUGAAACACAACACUUGACCCCGCUGAGAAAAUAACAAGGAUGAUGCCACGCAUGCAGUCUGGUGUUUCGAAGCAUUUCACCCCGGCUAUCAAAGAAGGAGGACCAACCCGCCCCAUUACCACAGAAGAAAAUACAACAAGACAAAUGGCAGCAAGCUGGCCAUGCAUUAAGUGGAAGAGAGCAAACAGCACUUGCCAGGGGUGAAAUUAGCAGAGUAAGUAAGAAGAUAUAGCUCAGCUUACUGUGU